Neofelis nebulosa (Clouded leopard) is the source of this 861-nucleotide long non-coding RNA. RefSeq lists it as uncharacterized. The record is from RefSeq and is a predicted model, not a curated record. NCBI's taxonomy places the organism in Eukaryota, Metazoa, Chordata, Mammalia, Carnivora, Felidae. The transcript has 3 exons.
CCAUCUGCUUCCAGACUGCGGUUAACCGCAAGAGACUAAAACCUCAGAAAGCAAAACCAUGGAUAAGGAGGGACUACUGUAUAGGCAGAGAAGCGACACAUGACAACAGACAAUGUCCUUCACCUCAGCAUGAUUUUCAUAACAGAUGCACGGAUGGAUUUCCCUUCUUGUAAAACUGCAGCUCAGGGAAAGCAAGUCUAUAAGCGACUUAAAUAUAAUUCACAGAGGUUGAAGGAUAAAGUAAGAGGAGAUAAAUGAUAUGGCCUGGAAGAGACAUACACUACUAUGAGACAGAUGCCACCCCCAUUGGCGGUUGUGUAUCACUUCCUGAAUACAUCAUUCUGAUGCAGUACUUGGAAACAGGCUUCAAGGCUGCAAAUCAUAGACUGAGGGACAAAUAGUGCUUCUCUUUGAGGCACGCACAUGUUGAAGGACAGAAAGUGAACAGUGCAGCUGCAGUGGAGAAGGAAUGUGUGAGGAAACAGGAGGGAUCUGGUGUUAUGCAAGACAUCAGGAGUCUUCCUAUAUAGUGCUUGAAGACCUACCACUGCCACGAAAGCAAUUUUGUUCAUCUGGUUGUGCGUUGUGUCACAGUUUGGGGGGAAUGAUCACGUUUUGUUAAUCUCCACUGCUGAAUGAAGAGAUUCGCAUGCAGAGGUACACCCAUGCUUAUUGUGCUGAGUGUCUGCUGAAGAAGUAUCUGUCCACGUUCAUACAUGGCUCCUCAGGGCCAGUGCGUUAUUUGUGUGUUAGAUGUGCCUGUACCUUUUCUCCAAAUGGCUUAGCGCUGUAUACAGAUCUUUACAUGAGUAUUUUUCUUAACUGCAUGGGUCUGCUCAUGACUUCUGACAACCAUGCAGU